GCAUGAAAGGGCUGUGUCUGAGAAGACACACAUUGGGUCUGCAACGGGAACUUUUCCUUCCGCGAGAUAAAAGAUUAUCUUCAAAGUUAUCUGGAGCUGCUACUCCCCAGACCCUUUGAGCCGGGCAGAUAAGAAGUGGAAUUCCAUUGACCCUGCCGCUUUGCUCAGCAGAGCCUCAGCAUGCCGCCCCAGCCGCCCCGGCCGCCCCGGCCGCCCCGGCUUUGGGGACCACUGGCUCGGGCACACCGCUGGCUUUCUGCAUAAGUGUGCUAAACAUCUUGCAUUCUGCAGAAGGACAAGACACAUGAAAUGUGAGAGACGAUGACCUCCAUGGCGAAGGCAUGGAAUCAGAGUGAACUGGGGGUGAACAACAGACAGAGGGCAGUUGUCUGCAGCGUUCCUCUUCUUGGUCUUGGCCAUGUCACCAACUGUGUCUUCUUGAGUCUCGACUAUCAGCUUCACACUUCUCCACCAGGCAUGGAUGGCGUUGCCCACACCACACAUCUGAUCCACUUCCUGGUGUUUAUUCUGUAACUGGAUGGUGAAUAAGUGUGAUAAAACAGACACCUAUGGACCAGUGACAAAAAUGCACCACAAGCCAAGGAUUAUGAUCUGUCCCACUUUCACGUUGCUAAAACAUGAGAUGAGUGCCCUUGCUUCACACACUUCCAUGAUUUCUAAAUUUCGGUUGAAGCCUCCAGUGAUGGUAUUUGGAGUUGAGGCCUCUGCAGGUAAUAAAGAUGGAACACCCAUGGAUAUUACUGGUGCCAUUAGCAGAUAAGUCAGGAUGAGAAAGGUAUCUGGCCCUCUGCACCGUGUAAGGAUACAGUAAGAAGACAUCGGUCUGAAAAUCGGGAACUCAGUUGGCUUUGAUCUUGGACAUUCAGCCUUCAGAACUGAGGAAAGUAAUUUUUUGGUGUUUAAGCUACUCAGCUUGUAGCAUUUUGUAAAUAAAUUGGCCACUUAUUAGCCAGAGUCCAUCAAGGGUUGGACAACAGGAAUGGAAUGCCAUGAUGCUUUUCUUCUCCUUAAAAAUGAUGCAAAUGUACCAUAGUUUUUAAAGGUUGGGUGAAAAUCUCUGCCUAAAUUUGUAAACAUUGCUGAGGCCCAGAGAUGAGUUAUCUCAACACAAGGGAUGGCCGGACAGACUUUUUGCAAGAAACACAGGAAUAGUCCCCCUCCAUGUGGUAAAUAAUCCACAGCUAGAGCAAUAACUACCCGAAGAAAUAAUGCAGGAAAAUUUACUUAAAAGGGAAAACAUUAGAACCAAGUCACUCUGGAGUACAGAUAGUCAUAAAGAACUAGUUGCACGAUCUUUCCACAAAAUUCCUUGGCCUUAAACAAAGCAGAAAAAAAAGAUUUGUCUGCUUCCUUAAAAAAAAUGCAAAAGUUCAUGUUUCAGAGUUUAAAAAGAUAUAAUUUAGGAAAGGAUAACUACAGACAAUACUUUCUGCUAGGAACAAAAACCAAAGUGAAAAAUAUUUAUGGAUGUUCCCAUAAUUCAUGUGAAGGCUUUGUAACAUCAACAUCCAACAGGAAAUGAAAGGCCUUUGGGAGACUGGAGGACAGCAGUAACCCCUCUCCUACCCACACCUCUGUGAACUGCAAAGAAAGUCCUUAUUUUUAGUAAGAUGGCUAUCACAAUUGCAAACAGCACUUCUGGACGUGUGUCCACAGCCCUCUGCCAGCAUCUCUGUGGUGAUGGGCGGCCAAACCCACCAGAACAUUCUGUUUUUCAGAAGUGGCUUUGUCUCAGAACACAUUCACGUGGAGAGCAGGGGAGGACCUCAGUGCCCAGGGACCACGCCAGUUCAGAACAAGGGAAAUCGGGGAGGAGUCUCGAGGAGUCAGUCUUCUGCGAGGGAAAUCUUCUUUAGCUCUGAGUGAAUUCCUCCGCAAUUAGUGGUUUCUCUUGAAACGGCAGCAGUUGCGAGAACUGUGGCCAGAGAUCCGAUGCUUGUCUGCUUCAUGGGAAUAUCUUCAGCCCCAGAGAAAAAUGCUGCGGGGAAUUUUAUGGCAUACCAAAAAAAAUGUUUUCAGAGAUUUAUGUGCCUCUCUUUCAAAGACACACGAAGCAAUAAACAGUGAGAAAACAAAACAGUCUUUGAUCAGGAUUUCCCAGACCUUGGAACAUAUAAAGGGUGUACCAAUUCCACAAAGUAUUGUUUCUCAAUGAGGAAAUAUAGCUAAGUUUCCCAAGCUCCCCUCCAAGAAGCAACUUCGACGGAGAAAUACAGCCCAAGAAAAAUGGCUACGGAACACUAGACGGUAAAUGAUUCUCAUUUCCUGGCUCUACUAAAAAAAAGGUAUAAUACAGUGCCAUGAAACACCAUCUCAGACUUCCAAAACCAUCACAGAUCUUUAGAAAUAAUCUGUUACUUUAAUUUUACAAUUUUUUAUGCUACCACGGAGACAAUUUCCCCCCACCCCACCCCCCACUUUAGUAAAAGGCCUGAGUAGAAAAGAAAUGCAUGUUCACCAUAGAUCAUUGUAAAGCCUGGGAACAGUACAACCUGGAUUCCACUGUGCAGAAUCCAGGUUCUCGGUCUGAAGUCGCGCAGUGGGCUCUUCUGUGUUCCGUGGUGGAUGUGAAAUGCCCCCGUGGGCUCAUCUACUGCAGACUUGAUCCCCUGGUGGGACAGGGCUCUCCCGGCAAGAUACGGCUCUGGCCCUCUUUAACAUCAGCGGUGUGAUUAUUACUUGAAACCUGUACGUCGUUGGGCCAAUGAGGCCCCAGCAGAGAGUAGUAGAGGGACUUCUGAGACCCUGCUCCUCCCCACCAGCAUACAGGCAAUAACAGUUACUGGGAGGUGGGGCUCAAGCGGCCCCGCUCCUCCCCGAGGAGACAUCGGUGGUUAGUGGUGACUGAGAGACCUUUUCUUCAAUGGGAUAGCCUCCUGCAUCUUGCUCGUGCUCCUAGAAAUAACUCCACACCCAUUGCACCCGAAAGAAACCCCAAUUAAAAUCACUGGUUCACCGA
Peromyscus leucopus (white-footed mouse) is the source of this 2980-nucleotide long non-coding RNA. RefSeq lists it as uncharacterized. The record is from RefSeq and is a predicted model, not a curated record. Lineage: Eukaryota; Metazoa; Chordata; Mammalia; Rodentia; Cricetidae. The transcript is spliced from 3 exons.